AUUGAACGCUGGCGGCAUGCCUUACACAUGCAAGUCGAACGGCAGCAUGGAGAGCUUGCUCUCUGAUGGCGAGUGGCGAACGGGUGAGUAGAGCAUCGGAACGUACCGUGUAGUGGGGGAUAACGUAGCGAAAGUUACGCUAAUACCGCAUACGCACUGAGGUGGAAAGCAGGGGAUCGUAAGACCUUGCGCUAUACGAGCGGCCGAUGUCAGAUUAGCUAGUUGGUAGGGUAAAGGCCUACCAAGGCGACGAUCUGUAGCGGGUAUGAGAGGAUGAUCCGCCACACUGGGACUGAGACACGGCCCAGACUCCUACGGGAGGCAGCAGUGGGGAAUUUUGGACAAUGGGGGCAACCCUGAUCCAGCCAUGCCGCGUGAGUGAAGAAGGCCUUCGGGUUGUAAAGCUCUUUCGGCCGGGAAGAAAUCGCACAGGCUAAUACCCUGUGUGGAUGACGGUACCGGCAUAAGAAGCACCGGCUAACUACGUGCCAGCCGCCGCAGUAA
RNAcentral lists this ribosomal RNA (504 nucleotides) under uncultured bacterium. RNAcentral describes it as "partial 16S ribosomal RNA". It matches the Rfam family "Bacterial small subunit ribosomal RNA", at positions 30 to 523 of the family's 1533-position model. The record is from RNAcentral.